AAUGGCAUCAAUGAAGACGAAGUGACCAUUGCACCCUUUCCGACAAAUCUUGGGGCUUGCUUUACAAAUCCAACCCUUCGAAGUAGCCCUCCUCCCUCCAAUCUAAUGGUUUAUGACAGAUGGUUGAAGGUUUGAAGGUCUGCUUUUACCGUUCCCCUAAUUAUUUUACAACGAUUAUGGGAUACAAUUGUUGUUGGGCUGAAUUUUUCAAUUUUUCUCAUCCUUAGGUUUGCAAGAUGGGUCUGCUUUAGUUGAUUUGAAGUUGAUGACAUUACCAGAAUUUGGUUUCCUUAUGUAGGUUUAUAUUGAAGUUGAUGGCAUUACCAGGUUCAUAUACGAGAAUCCUUUCAGAAAAGAGAUAGUAAAAUCUACAUAUAUGUGAAGAAAAUCAUCAAGCUCAUUCAUGAGCAAUUAUUGUGACGUAUUCAGGUCUUUUUAUAACUUUUUCUACAUCUCAAAAUCAAUAAUUCAUACACUUGAAGCUCCUAGGCUUUGAUUAGUUAUGAUGUUUGUGGGCUCAAAAUCGUAAAUUUGUUGGCAUCUUCAAUAUUGAGGACUAUAGAGGCAUAUAAGAAAAACAUUAUUUGUUUAACUGAAAAAGGUCUAACCAUGUUCUUUUUGGAACAAAAACAGUUCUUUUUGGAACAAAAACAAAUAGAUUAUUAGAUCGUCAGGAUUAAAAAUUAGAGAUUUUGAAUGGUCAACAUAAAACCCAAAUUAUCUUGACUUUCAUUUCAUAUACUUUGAGCUUAACAUGUACUUUUGCCAUAUGUGUGCAACUAGGAUGAAGAUGAUGUUGGACACAGGCUGCAGAGACCAUUUCCAUAUGUAAAAAGCUUGCACGCAAGCAAGAAGAAUCCCAUUAAAGCUACUAAAAGAAUUCAAAAGGCAGAAACGGAGAAAGUGAAGGUGGAUCAUCUAAAUUAACUCUUUCUAGAGUUGGUGGAUGUGCUUGAAGUCACAUAACAAAACAAUUGGAAAGUCUCGAUAUAACUAUUAGAGUUGACAAGGACAUGCUUGAUCAACUCAAGUCUGUUAGGAAGGAGAAGGCAGCUUUGCUAUUCAAGUCAUAUAUGGGACAGGUAUAUUUUAUAGACUACAUCAAUACCAUGAAGAGUUGUGUGUCAACGGUUAUUUGAUUUACGAUUUAUAUUCUUAGCAUCACCGAAAAUUUAUAAUGUUGAUAUUAAACCCUCUUUUGCAUUUUCCUAGCAGAUGGUUCUUCAAUUGUUGUUAAAGAUGUCAAUUUCACUUGUAUUUUUUGUAUUCGUAUUAAAUAUAUGAUUUGUUUUUGAAAUUCAAUUGACUACCUUUAUUAAUCUUACUUCUAUUGAACAAAUUUUGUGUUGUAUCAACUAAAAUAUCUAAUACAAGAGUUUAUCCUAAAUUACAAGAAAACGAAGGAAGUCAUUGAGGUUGUCUCGAGUAACAUAAUACAGAGCCUUACUUUAAAAAGAUAACUGUUUUUCUAUUAUUGAAGGUGGCCCCUGUUUUUUAUGUUGAGAUAUUCGCCUGCAGGUUCAUUUACAAUGUUCAUAUUCAUUUUGUUUUCUGCACUUUUAUCAAUAUAUUUCAUAGAGAACAAACUUUGUUUGUGGACGGCCCUUUGUUGGUUUUGGGUGCCUACUCAGUUAUGAAUAGAUUCACACGGUGGCGGAUAAAUUCUUUGGUCUUCUUAUAGCAAUUUGAUACUGGGUACCGAUACCUGUUUUUUCUGUUUAUCGGUAUGUUUGACUACUACCGUUACCGUACUGUUAUCGGUACCCAUUUUUCCCGAAAAUCGGUUUGGUACCAUGCUCAUUCCUAAAUUCCUCUUCAUGCAACAGGCUAUUAAAGUGUCUUUUUACAUAUUAUCUUGAUUAAAAUUUACCAAACCAUUGGUUAUUUGGAUGAAUUUGCGACUAAGAGUUGUAAUUGUUAGCUAAGAGUAUGUUUGGGAUUGUUUUUUUAUUGCUCAUUUUGAAUGGUACCUGCUGCUACAUGUUUAGCCUCUAAAACAUAAUUUUGAUUUUCAAUACACAGGUUGUGUAGUCCCCAAUCGUGGAAGUCUUGAAGCUAUAAACAUCCAGUGCUGCAUCAAUUUUGACAUGUGGUGAUAUUAGGUUAUGGAUGACGAAGACAAUUGGUGGGGUGGGGGGUGGGGGGGAGAAAUCACGGUAUUUGGUUGUGUGGGAUUAACUGUGAGGAUAUAAAUGUCUAUGCUACACAAAAUGUCCAAGAUACCCUUUUUACUUAAUGAUUUGAGGAAAGAUAGUGUAAUAUUUACAUAAAUGCCAUGAUCCUUCACAACC
This 2291-nucleotide long non-coding RNA is filed under the name Helianthus annuus (common sunflower). RNAcentral describes it as "hypothetical non coding rna". Lineage: Eukaryota; Viridiplantae; Streptophyta; Magnoliopsida; Asterales; Asteraceae. The record is from RNAcentral.